AGGAGAGUUUGAUCCUGGCUCAGGAUUAGAUACCCUGGUAGUCCAGAAUUCGGCUUAGAGUUUGAUCCUGGCUCAGGAUGAACGCUAGCUACAGGCUUAACACAUGCAAGUCGAGGGGCAUCAUGGGAGGACUUCGGUCCUUUUGAUGGCGACCGGCGAAUGGGUGAGUAACACGUAUCCGACCUGCCCUGUACUGGAGGAUAGCCUCCCGAAAGGGAAAUUAAUACUCCAUGUGUCAAAUGUCCGCAUGGUCGUUUGAUGAAAGAUUUAUCGGUACAGGAUGGGGAUGCGUUCCAUUAGCCAGCCGGCGGGGUAACGGCCCACCGGGGCGACGAUGGAUAGGGGUUCUGAGAGGAAGGUCCCCCACACUGGAACUGAGACACGGUCCAGACUCCUACGGGAGGCAGCAGUGAGGAAUAUUGGUCAAUGGCCGCAAGGCUGAACCAGCCAAGUAGCGUGCGGGAGGACGGCCCUAUGGGUUGUAAACCGCUUUUAUACGGGGGUAAAACGCGCCACGUGUGGUGUCUUGCAAGUACCGUAAGAAAAAGGACCGGCUAAUUCCGUGCCAGCAGCCGCGGUAAUACGGAAGGUCCGAGCGUUAUCCGGAUUUAUUGGGUUUAAAGGGAGCGUAGGCGGGAUGCCAAGUCAGUUGUGAAAGUCCGCGGCUCAACCGUGGAAUUGCAGUUGAAACUGGUAUUCUUGAGUGUACAUAACGAAGGUGGAAUUUGUGGUGUAGCGGUGAAAUGCUUAGAUAUCACGAAGAACUCCGAUUGCGAAGGCAGCCUUCGGGGGUACUACUGACGCUGAGGCUCGAAAGUGCGGGAAUCAAACAGGAUUAGAUACCCUGGUAGUCCCCU
This 857-nucleotide ribosomal RNA is filed under the name uncultured Bacteroidota bacterium. RNAcentral's name for it is "bacterial SSU rRNA". It matches the Rfam family "Bacterial small subunit ribosomal RNA", at positions 1 to 799 of the family's 1533-position model. The record is from RNAcentral. Lineage: Bacteria; Pseudomonadati; Bacteroidota.